UUGAACGCUGGCGGCAGGCCUAACACAUGCCAGUCGAGCGGAUGAAGGGAGCUUGCUCCUGGAUUCAGCGGCGGACGGGUGAGUAAUGCCUAGGAAUCUGCCUGGUAGUGGGGGAUAACGUCCGGAAACGGGCGCUAAUACCGCAUACGUCCUGAGGGAGAAAGUGGGGGAUCUUCGGACCUCACGCUAUCAGAUGAGCCUAGGUCGGAUUAGCUAGUUGGUGGGGUAAAGGCCUACCAAGGCGACGAUCCGUAACUGGUCUGAGAGGAUGAUCAGUCACACUGGAACUGAGACACGGUCCAGACUCCUACGGGAGGCAGCAGUGGGGAAUAUUGGACAAAGGGCGAAAGCCUGAUCCAGCCAUGCCGCGUGUGUGAAGAAGGUCUUCGGAUUGUAAAGCACUUUAAGUUGGGAGGAAGGGCAGUAAGUUAAUACCUUGCUGUUUUGACGUUACCAACAGAAUAAGCACCGGCUAACUUCGUG
RNAcentral lists this ribosomal RNA (483 nucleotides) under uncultured bacterium. RNAcentral's name for it is "partial 16S ribosomal RNA". It matches the Rfam family "Bacterial small subunit ribosomal RNA", at positions 30 to 507 of the family's 1533-position model. The record is from RNAcentral.